UCCCGUGUGGCUCAGUUGGUAGAGCAUGGUGUUUGCAACGCCAGGGUUGUGUGUUCGAUUUCCACGGGGG
RNAcentral lists this transfer RNA (70 nucleotides) under Salmo salar (Atlantic salmon). It matches the Rfam family "tRNA". From Rfam's summary of the family: Transfer RNA (tRNA) molecules are approximately 80 nucleotides in length. Their secondary structure includes four short double-helical elements and three loops (D, anti-codon, and T loops). The record is from Rfam by way of RNAcentral. Lineage: Eukaryota; Metazoa; Chordata; Actinopteri; Salmoniformes; Salmonidae.